Molecule: ribosomal RNA, 200 nt
Filed under: uncultured Veillonella sp.
Lineage: Bacteria; Bacillati; Bacillota; Negativicutes; Veillonellales; Veillonellaceae
Description: partial 16S ribosomal RNA
Rfam family: Bacterial small subunit ribosomal RNA
Source: RNAcentral
ACUCCUACGGGAGGCAGCAGUGGGGAAUCUUCCGCAAUGGACGAAAGUCUGACGGAGCAACGCCGCGUGAGUGAUGACGGCCUUCGGGUUGUAAAGCUCUGUUAAUCGGGACGAAUGGUUCUUGUGCAAAUAGUGCGAGGAUUUGACGGUACCGGAAUAGAAAGCCACGGCUAACUACGUGCCAGCAGCCGCGGUAAUAC